This 254-nucleotide ribosomal RNA is filed under the name uncultured bacterium. Its description in RNAcentral is "partial 16S ribosomal RNA". It matches the Rfam family "Bacterial small subunit ribosomal RNA", at positions 524 to 776 of the family's 1533-position model. The record is from RNAcentral.
CACGUAGGGUGCGAGCGUUGUCCGGAAUUAUUGGGCGUAAAGAGCUCGUAGGCGGUGUGCCGCGUCGGCCGUGAAAACCUGCAGCUUAACUGUGGGCUUGCGGUCGAUACGGGCAUCACUGGAGUUCGGCAGGGGAGACUGGAAUUCCUGGUGUAGCGGUGAAAUGCGCAGAUAUCAGGAGGAACACCGGUGGCGAAGGCGGGUCUCUGGGCAGUAACUGACGCUGAGGAGCGAAAGCGUGGGGAGCGAACAGG